RNAcentral lists this ribosomal RNA (491 nucleotides) under uncultured Paracoccaceae bacterium. RNAcentral's name for it is "bacterial SSU rRNA". It matches the Rfam family "Bacterial small subunit ribosomal RNA", at positions 395 to 903 of the family's 1533-position model. Lineage: Bacteria; Pseudomonadati; Pseudomonadota; Alphaproteobacteria; Rhodobacterales; Paracoccaceae. The record is from RNAcentral.
UGCCGCGUGAGUGAAGAAGGCCCUAGGGUCGUAAAGCUCUUUCNNCAGGGAUGAUAAUGACAGUACCUGGUAAAGAAACCCCGGCUAACUCCGUGCCAGCAGCCGCGGUAAUACGGAGGGGGUUAGCGUUGUUCGGAAUUACUGGGCGUAAAGCGUACGUAGGCGGAUUAGUCAGUCAGAGGUGAAAUCCCAGGGCUCAACCCUGGAACUGCCUUUGAUACUGCUAGUCUUGAGUUCGAGAGAGGUGAGUGGAAUUCCAAGUGUAGAGGUGAAAUUCGUAGAUAUUUGGAGGAACACCAGUGGCGAAGGCGGCUCACUGGCUCGAUACUGACGCUGAGGUACGAAAGUGUGGGGAGCAAACAGGAUUAGAUACCCUGGUAGUCCACACCGUAAACGAUGAAUGCCAGUCGUCGGGUUGCAUUGCAAUUCGGUGACACACCUAACGGAUUAAGCAUUCCGCCUGGGGAGUACGGUCGCAAGAUUAAAACUCA